GGAUUGCCUUCGCCGUCGCCAACAACCGCUACAAGGCGUCAUGCCCCCACUAUGCUUUCUACCGCCCGGGCAACCGCCUCUGGACGCCCCUCGCUCCCGCUCCGAACGCCGAGUCUUGCGAUUGGCCGGACGUCGAGUUCUACCGGAGGAAGUUCUACGUCGCGACGCGGUCGCAACUGCUCGUCUGCAAGAUCGACAAGGAGCCUCCGCGGAUGAAGGUGCUGGAAAGGGCCGGGCCAGAAGUGCGG
Molecule: long non-coding RNA, 248 nt
Filed under: Ananas comosus (pineapple)
Lineage: Eukaryota; Viridiplantae; Streptophyta; Magnoliopsida; Poales; Bromeliaceae
Description: long non-coding RNA (ACOM_LNC012788)
Source: RNAcentral